UGGCCUUUUAACACAUUUGCAAGUUCGAAACGGGAUCCAUCAGGCUUUGCUUGGUGGUGAGAGUGGCGAACGGGUGAGUAAUGCGUGACCGACCUGCCCCAUACACCGGAAUAGCUCCUGGAAACGGGUGGUAAUGCCGGAUGCUCCGACUCCUCGCAUGGGGUGUCGGGAAAGAUUUCAUCGGUAUGGGAUGGGGUCGCGUCCUAUCAGGUAGUCGGCGGGGUAACGGCCCACCGAGCCUACGACGGGUAGCCGGCCUGAGAGGGCGACCGGCCACAUUGGGACUGAGAUACGGCCCAGACUCCUACGGGAGGCAGCAGUGGGGAAUAUUGCACAAUGGGCGCAAGCCUGAUGCAGCGACGCCGCGUGCGGGAUGACGGCCUUCGGGUUGUAAACCGCUUUUGAUCGGGAGCAAGCCUUCGGGUGAGUGUACCUUUCGAAUAAGCACCGGCUAACUACGUGCCAGCAGCCGCGGUAAUACGUAGGGUGCAAGCGUUAUCCGGAAUUAUUGGGCGUAAAGGGCUCGUAGGCGGUUCGUCGCGUCCGGUGUGAAAGUCCAUCGCUUAACGGUGGAUCUGCGCCGGGUACGGGCGGGCUGGAGUGCGGUAGGGGAGACUGGAAUUCCCGGUGUAACGGUGGAAUGUGUAGAUAUCGGGAAGAACACCAAUGGCGAAGGCAGGUCUCUGGGCCGUUACUGACGCUGAGGAGCGAAAGCGUGGGGAGCGAACAGGAUUAGAUACCCUGGUAGUCCACGCCGUAAACGGUGGAUGCUGGAUGUGGGGCCCGUUCCACGGGUUCCGUGUCGGAGCUAACGCGUUAAGCAUCCCGCCUGGGGAGUACGGCCGCAAGGCUAAAACUCAAAGAAAUUGACGGGGGCCCGCACAAGCGGCGGAGCAUGCGGAUUAAUUCGAUGCAACGCGAAGAACCUUACCUGGGCUUGACAUGUUCCCGACAGCCGUAGAGAUAUGGCCUCCCUUCGGGGCGGGUUCACAGGUGGUGCAUGGUCGUCGUCAGCUCGUGUCGUGAGAUGUUGGGUUAAGUCCCGCAACGAGCGCAACCCUCGCCCUGUGUUGCCAGCACGUCAUGGUGGGAACUCACGGGGGACCGCCGGGGUCAACUCGGAGGAAGGUGGGGAUGACGUCAGAUCAUCAUGCCCCUUACGUCCAGGGCUUCACGCAUGCUACAAUGGCCGGUACAACGGGAUGCGACACGGCGACGUGGAGCGGAUCCCUGAAAACCGGUCUCAGUUCGGAUUGGAGUCUGCAACCCGACUCCAUGAAGGCGGAGUCGCUAGUAAUCGCGGAUCAGCAACGCCGCGGUGAAUGCGUUCCCGGGCCUUGUACACACCGCCCGUCAAGUCAUGAAAGUGGGUAGCACCCGAAGCCGGUGGCCUAACCCUUUGUGGAUGGAGGCCCGUUCUAAAAGGG
This 1427-nucleotide ribosomal RNA is filed under the name Bifidobacterium pseudocatenulatum. RNAcentral describes it as "bacterial SSU rRNA". It matches the Rfam family "Bacterial small subunit ribosomal RNA". The record is from RNAcentral. Lineage: Bacteria; Bacillati; Actinomycetota; Actinomycetes; Bifidobacteriales; Bifidobacteriaceae.